AUGGCUGAUCCUUCACUCAGGUCAUUAUCUGAAAGCGACAUUCCUGAAAAUUACUGUUCCGACUUUGUGGAGCGAUUUGAAGCGGAAACAAGACCGACAAGAAUGUAUUGGAAAGUUAUCGAAGCAACAGACAGUUUGUGGUCUUUCGAAUUUUUGGAUGGCCAACUGAGAUUAACCAUUCAUUUCAAACCAGCCGCUGCCAACUGCUUAGCUCCUGUUAAAGAAAUUGCAUUUGAUUCUGUCAAGCCUGAUGCUGAGCCUAAACAGGUUAUAGGACAGAACAUUAUUUUAGAGAAGUACCCACUGGCCAGACUUGAGGGUCUCUGUAGAAAUGCAAGUAAUGUUUUUGAUGUACUGCACAUGAUCGCUAAUGAUGUAAUUUUUGCGAAGAAAGUCAUGUUUAGUCUUGAUGGGAUGAUCACAUCAAAAUUUUCAAAUGAUAGUGUCACGUUUGACCUCAUUAUUAUGCGGCCAAACCAUUUAGCAGAAGUGACGGUGGAUUUAAGUUCAUGGCAGAGCGUGUCUUCUUCCUCGGUUUCUGUUAAAAAUUUAAUUGGAACAAUAAGGGAACAAAAAAUCAGAAGUUUCUUCGAGGAGUGUGAGAAAGAUGAAGACUGUAUUCGACAAUUCUGGCUCAAAUGUCAACAGUAUAUGACCAGUCAAUGGUUUACAGCCCCCAAAAUAUGGUAGAUAACGCGUAAAUUACGCAAUUGCAAAAAAAAUCCCGACUGUAAAUGAUAAACUCCUUCUUUAUAUUUGAUUUCAAUAGAUUCAGGGGUGCACAAUAUACUAGAUCACGCGAUAAUUUAUCGCGUGAAAUUGUGGAAGGCCUUCCCGAUUUACGGAAGCGCGAUUACGCGAUAAAUUAUCGCGUGAAAAUGUGGAAGCGUCCCAAAUUUUGUGGAAAUUUUUCUUUCUUUCUUUCUUUUCUUUUCUCGCUCUAAACUUAUAUUACUACUACUACUACUUCGAAUCUCAUAGUUUUGUACCAAAACAUUGUGGAAAAGUUUUCACAUGUGUGGUCGAAAUACUGUGGAAGGUUUUCCGUUUCCGGUUUCCACAAUUUUUACGGAAUUAUUGUGGAAAGGCUUUCCACAAUCUUUUACAAAGUUAGAAGGGUUUCCACAAUUCUUACUGAAAUAGUGUGGUAGGGUUUCCACAAUUUUCCACAGAAUAUAGACCCCUGCAUAUCUCAAUUCUUCCAUCUAAUCUUGUAUCUAAAAUUCUAAAUACGUUUUUAUUGCGUUACCACUAAUACUUGCGUUCGGUACAAGUCAACAACCCUCCUCGUUCCAAAUUCCCAAAAAAAAAAAAAAAAAAAAAAAAAAAAAAAAAAAAAAAAAAAAAAAAGUCAUCACUUUUUGUGGAAGGGGUUACGAAAAUGUGGAAAUUUUUUCAAUUUUUUGUGGAAGAGGAAAAGCUUAUCGCACGAAAUUGUGGAAGCAUAGUAAAAUGUGCACCCCUGAAUAGAUUAAUUUAGCGGCUUCAUGAUUUUAUGCAUGUUGCUGUUUCAUGGUUCCAGUGUAAACAGUUACAUAAUCUCAUUACAUUUGUGCCAAAGUGAUUGAAUGCGCCUAAGUGUUUCUCUCAGUCAAAAUUUCUCAAAUUUAAGGGAUUAUGAGUUGAUUUAUAAAUUAUUAAUGUCAAAUUCGGAAGAAGCUGACAUAAUAAAUACUCGGUAGUGUUUAGACUAGAGAUUAUGUUUCACUUUUCAUAUUUUGAACAUUGAACAUUGAACAUCUAUUUAUUAAUAUGCAGAAUAUCAAGAAUGAUGUAGCCACUGAAUCAGUCAAUACAAGUAACAAGUUCCUAUCCAUUCUUUUUAGUGGAGACAUGAAAGUCUUAAUUUUUUAACAUAAAAAGCACAGAGGCCACCUCACUAUCUAGGACUACCUACUACCCUUAAGCUAAAUUAUUGUGUUUAGUUUUACAUUAUUAAGCGCUCAGCCGCUUUCUGAUUUUGUGUGCCUCACUCCCAAGUGCUGAGCUAACAGUCAGCCCACAUUCAUUCUAGUGUAACAAAUGUACACUCUUCCCCUGUUCAAGUAACAUAAAUUGACAUGAUACCAGUUGAGCAGACCAAUGAGGAUAUAAUAAGGCAGAAUCGACAUAGUUUCCAAGUUCUUGCCGAGGCUGAGAUGGAACUACCGGAAGCGUUUUGUUUUUGUAGAUUUUGGGUGCUUGAAUAAAGGAAGAGUGAACCUCUCUUUCACUUACCUGGCGUUAAAAAAUCUGAUUUCCUCAGGAUCCAAAAAUGAUUCAGAAAUCUUAUACUAAACCUUGCAAAAAAUGAAAUCACUGUCACGGCAUUCCUCCAAAAAACUUUCGUAAUUUCGUAAAUAGUACUAUAACUUACUUGGAGGCAACAUUCAAAAUUAUAAAAGUUUCUUUUCGUACUUACUUCAGCUGUUCUGUUGUUUGAAUUUGCAAAAGGGGCUGCUCAUAUAAAAUGUAAUGUUCUAAGGGAGAGAUGGGGGUUAAGGAGUAGAUCACACCAUUUUUUAUUAUGUAUUAAAAGAUAGGAUCUUGCGUCACAAAAGCAUCGCGUCGAAAAAUUCGAAAUUUAGGAAUUCGUAUUUUAUGAAUAGCCCCUUAAGGUCCAAUUGUUGAAAUAAAUUGAAUUUGUUUCCCCCCACAAUGAAGAUGGUAUAGUUUUAAAUAAUUUUGUUUGUAACAAUUCUUAUAGGGCCAGAGAAAUAUCCCCUAUGACAUAGUGGGAACCUGCAACUCCUCACAAAUGACCAAAGAAACACCAUCAUUAAAUUUCUGGGACUUCUACUUAAGCAAUCAGUCAUAGAAAAAAGUGCUGAUUUCCAGAGUUCCAAAGACCAGAAAAAAAUUUCCCCUUCCCCUAAAAUUGAAGGGAAGCCCAAUUUUUCAGAGCCAUCUUAAUUUUUUUGUAACCAAAUCAACUUUUUGCAUACGCUGUUUUGCUUUGCAUGUCUAUAUCGUUCUUGAAUCUUCUUGUUCUUGUGCUGUGCCACCACACCGUAAACAGUGCGUUGAGAGUGGUCCUGCUGAUUUGCGAUCGCAAGUUUGAUAAAAUCAACAGGGUGUGUCAACUUUUCUAGGCACCAAAGCCCCAUAUGUAGGUGCAUGGCCCCAGGGGAAGGCAGAACUCUGCUGAUCCUCUUUGUAAAUAUGUAUCAACUGUGAAUUUCUUGCAGGUUUUUAUUGAGAGACACAGUUGCCCUCAUCCCCUUUCCCACUGUAGAUAAAAAAUUUAGAAGUCCUUCAAAAACUUCCCCUUGAGAUUAAUGGAGAUUGUAUUAUCAUCGAUGGUAAAGAGAGAGUUUAAAGAGGUGAGAACAAGACCCCUUUUAGGAUACCCAACAUUUUGAAAUUCAUGUUUUCUAUAAGUAAUAUACGGAAUUUUUCCCCACGAUCUUAAUCUUUCUACUAUGAAUCUACACUCAAAUCUGUUUUUAAGUCUUCUCCAAGUAAUUUCGAUCACAUUAUAAGACCCUUCCAUUGGUGUGUCGGAAUCUCUUUACUGCAAAGAAUAUUUUCUACUAUAGUUGUAUUUUUCUUUUAAUUCUUCAUGUAAACACUGUCGUUUUGCCUAAAAAUAUAAAUAGGUUUCCAAUUCAACCUUUUGUAAUAUGUUUUUUCCCCCUUAUGAGUCUGCAUCCCCAAUAAAUGGCCAUUUUUGGUUGUUACUGUCACAAACAAAACAUACAUCUUUAUUGGCGACUCAAAGUGAUUUUGCUAGAUGUUACAUCGUGAAAUUUGAGAAUACUAAUUGUGAGUGGAAAUAAAGCAUCUCAAUCUUUCGGGGCAAAAACAGUUGGAUUGCAUUUUGCAAAAAGGAACCAAGAGCAUUUCAAUGUUGCUAAGAUUGUGCAACUCUUUUUACCUUGCAAAUAUAAACUGAUCAUCUAAACAAGUUUAUAUCUUUACUCCCUAUCAACUAUAAAUUCAAGACGAAAAUUAUCUUGGUCUAUUACAUUUUUUGCACGAUUCCAGUAAUUUCAUUGCAAAGAUGUAAGUUGCACAAUCCUAGCAACAUAGGAAUGCUCUUGGUUCCUUUUUGCGGAAUGCCAUGCAGUGCGGGUUGACUGUGCUUUGAUCUAAUGGCGAAAUUCUGAGCUAUGGUCAAUAGAUGUCAUGUUCUCAAUCCAAUAAAAAUGGUCCGAAGAAAAAGAAAAAAAAAGAAAAAAAAAAGUUACAAGUAGAUUGUGAAAAUACUUGGAAAUGUGAAGAAAAUAAUGGUACAUUUAAAAAAUGUAUUUACAAUUAAAAUACAGUUGAUAAAAAUUAACAAAACAUUAUUUAAAUGACUGUACAAAAGUAAAAAUUACAAAUAAUUGUGGCAAGAAGGUGCCUCAAAUAAACAACGAUCAGAUGACAGAAAAAUGCUCCAUAUCAAGACACUCCUCGCGCAGAGGACAGAUUAUAACUGAUAGACGUUCACAAUUUAUAAUUUUGAGAGAAAAGCUAGGGGCUUUAUCACCAGUGCAGAGUAACUCCCAAGGGUUGAUGAGGUUGAAUUUUAAGAGCAUGAAAUCUUUUCUUGAAAUCUGAAUCGAGGACAGGAGAUUCGAAAUUGAGUUGCUACAUUUGAAGAUCAACAGCAGAAUAUACUGAUAGCAAGAAAAAACCUUAGUUGAAUCAUUAUUAAAGUUAGUCAAACUUCCAGUUGUCUAAAAAUGUUGAGUAUUCAGAAACAUAGGACACCAAAGGAUGAAAAAUUGAGAUUAGGAAUCUUUUUUUACCUCAUUUAAAUCACAAGAAUUUUAGACCCUUCAGGCUGGUACGUUGGUAGGUAGAUAAAUUGUAGCAUUAUUGAGUAUCAAGGUACAUGUAAAUAUCUGAAAGUUCAAUAGAAAACUGAAUCAAUGACAAAUUAGUUUCUGUCAGUCAAUUAACAAUUGUAAAGUAGUAUUCAUACUCAAAAAAAAA
RNAcentral lists this long non-coding RNA (4902 nucleotides) under Bemisia tabaci. RNAcentral's name for it is "lncRNA ENSSSA3NGG002353". Lineage: Eukaryota; Metazoa; Arthropoda; Insecta; Hemiptera; Aleyrodidae. The record is from RNAcentral.